This 218-nucleotide ribosomal RNA is filed under the name uncultured bacterium. RNAcentral's name for it is "partial 16S ribosomal RNA". It matches the Rfam family "Bacterial small subunit ribosomal RNA", at positions 328 to 539 of the family's 1533-position model. The record is from RNAcentral.
ACGCUCAACACCUACGGGAGGCAGCAGUGAGGAAUAUUGGUCAAUGGGCGCUAGCCUGAACCAGCCAAGUAGCGUGAAGGAUGAAGGCUCUAUGGGUCGUAAACUUCUUUUAUAUAAGAAUAAAGUGCAGUAUGUAUACUGUUUUGUAUGUAUUAUAUGAAUAAGGAUCGGCUAACUCCGUGUCAGCAGCCGCGGUAAUCUGAGCGGGCUGGCAAGGC